Gorilla gorilla gorilla (western lowland gorilla) is the source of this 3503-nucleotide long non-coding RNA. RefSeq lists it as uncharacterized. The record is from RefSeq and is a predicted model, not a curated record. NCBI's taxonomy places the organism in Eukaryota, Metazoa, Chordata, Mammalia, Primates, Hominidae. The transcript is spliced from 5 exons.
ACUGCCAGAGAUGCUUCAUGAAUAAAGGAUUGGAUCAAUGUAGCAAGUAACAAACCAUAAGCAGAUAAGCUGCUUGCUGAGGACAAAGGGAGGAAUAUUUUAAACAGCAGCUAUGACUGUGUGAGCAGUAGGAACAAAGACUUUCAUCAUUCUAUUUCUUCUUUGCUUUGAUGUGAAUAUGUGUAUGCAGAUGCUUCCUGCCCUUUAACAUCGGACUCCGAGUUCUUCAGCUUUUGGAUCCUGGAUCUAUACCAAUGGUUUGCCAGGGUCUCUUGGACCUUUGGCCACACACUGAAGGCUGCACUAUUGGCUUCCCUACUUUUGAGGUUUUGGGACUCAGACUGGCUUCCUUGCUCUCCUCAGCUUGUAGAUGGCCUAUUGUGUGACUUCACCUUGUGAUCAUAGCUUACAAAAAGCUUGAUUGAAAAGAGAAGAGACUGGAACACAGUAUGAUGACAAUAAAGAGAAAAGGUAGAGUUGAAAACGAAGAUACUAACACCUUGAUCUCAACCUUAGCAGUUAAAUAUUCUUUUCAUUUUUGUUCCCUUCAAAUUCAAAGGAUUUUUCUACCUCAAAAUGACAAUAACAGUUCCUUUUAAAAAUAUCUUUAAGUUUCUACUUUAAUGUCACAGAUAAACCUAACCACAUGUGUGGAAACUGAUUUGAUGAAAUGAGACCAACCUGAGAAAAAUUUGAGAUGUUCAAUUCAUAUUUUUAAUAUUUUUAAAACAUAUAUCCAAACUUGUUAAAAGGCAAAUCAUUUCAAAUAAAUAAAUAAUGUUCAAUCCCAUUUCGAGCUAUUAUACAUAUCAGUUUCCACCGUUUAAACAUUCUACUGCCUAAAAUUCCCCCCCUCUCUUUUUAAUCUAAGGAUAACUGUUCCUUCAAGGCUCACUUCAAAAUCGAAUGAGGCCUUCCCUUCCUGUGCAACUGAACCACUAAUACAUUUGUUCUAGGAAUAUCUCUAUCACUUCUUAAAAAAUAAUCAUUGACAUGAGAAAUAGUUCUCUUGGUGAUUUUUCUUCUUUUUUUAAUACAUAUUCUGCUUUUCAAAUUAGACUAUAAGCUCACUUUACAUUAAAACAUUUGUUUGUGUUUUAGUAUCCUAGCCUAUGUAAUAGUAUCAAUGAAUUUUUACUUAUGGCAAUAACUUAAAAUGAAAAUUGAUCAUAUUCAGAAAUAUUUUCGAAGAUUGCAAAUUUAAUAAUUAACAUCAAGCAAGAGUCAUAACAAUAAUUAGAUAUAAAAAUCUUUCCUGGGGGCUCCCAAUUGUCUUAAUUUUUUUUUCCUCAGGAGAAUACGUGGGUCCCAAAUAGCACUGUAUAGGCUCAUCACGUAUACUAACAUUAUUAAUGUUCACAUUUAUGUCAAAAAUAUCUACGAUUAAAACAUACUAACUUUAUGAAAAGUUUACCUUGGAUAAGGAAAUAUAGUAUUUGUAAUCAUUUAUACUCUUCUGUAUACUUAAUUGUAAAAGGUAUAUCCAGUUAAUGGAGAGCACAAUAAUUUUCUUCUAAAGAAUAAAAUUAAUCAUUUUAGUAUUUUAAUUGAUUUUCUAAAUCCCUUGCCCUCUUAGGAGCCAAGAUUAGUCUGGACAGUAUGCAGACAUUGACUCUGCUUUGACGACAGAGCUGGAAUUAAUUUCGCGUGUACCACAUAAGGUAAAGAAAACAGCUUCAGACCACGAUUAUCUAAGAUACGGGGUCUGGGUUUGCAGAUUAAUUUUAACAUAAGAAAAUGAAGUGACAGCUGAGGAUCUUUCAUGACACACUGCUGAGCUGCUGAAUGAAGUAUGCACGAAAUAGAAAAAUGUUCUUGAAUUCACAUAGAACCACAAGAGACUCUCAACAGCCAAAACAAUCUCAAGCAAAAAGAACAGAGCUGGAGGUGUCACAUUCCCUGAUUCCAAAACAUAUUAUAAAGUAAUUGUGAUCAAAACAGUAUGGUCCUGGCAUAAAAACAGACAGCUCAACCAAUAGAACAGGAUAGAGAACUCAGAAUUAAACCCAUGUUUAAUCAAUUGAUUUGUGACAAAAGUGCCAAAAACACAUGUAGAGAAAUGACAGUCUUGAAUAAAUAACGUUAAAAAAAAAAACUGGGUAUUUACAUACAGAAGAAUGAAAGUGAACCAUUGCUUCACAUCUUAUACAAAAAUAAAUUCAAAAUAGAUUAAAAACGUAAACAUAGGACAUGAAACUGUAAACCUACUACAAGAAAACGUAUGGAAGAAGCUCUUGCCAUUGGUUUAGGCAUUGUUGCAAAAAUGACUAAAUGCUACUAAACAUUUCAUAGUUUUAAAUCUUAUGGCUAUAAAAAUGUUUUUUUUUUUAGUUUUAAAACAGUUAUUUUAUGUGGUGUCAUUUGUAUUUCUUUUUUGUGAAUUUCUUAAUAAAACAUUCGCCACUUGUUUUGUUUUAUACCAACUAAUUAUUUUAGACUUUCUUAGAUUUUAAAGUUUUAAAUUAAUUUUUAUUUUAAAUAAGAGUCUCAAUCUUUACCUCUGUAUUUUCUGGGAUUCAAGUGCAAUCUAAGGCCUCCCAAAAUUAGUUUUUAGCUGAAAAAAAAUUGUUUUAGAUGUUUCACAAAUGUAAAGAUGUGAAUUAACUUAGACACGGGAAUGAAGAUUUUUCCCUAAUUUCACAGUUUAGGAAAUGUAUAUGAGUAAUAUGCUUCCUUGUUUUCUCUACAUAAUAAUAUAUUGCUUUUCUCUCCAGUGUGGCAUGAGGGAACUUGAGUAGUUUAUAAAUCUUUGUUUUAUAUCAUUUCCUAUCAUCAAAACUCUGUACACAUUGUAUCAUUUCUAAACCACUUGCGUACCACUUAGGAUUUGGCUUAUUCGGCUACUUUGGAAUUAGCUAGCUACUAUGGCAAGAAUUUAUGUUGAGAAAACUUGUGCUAUUCAUUGCUAUAUUUGUUUUAUAAAAAGUAUGAAAUUAUUUUUCAAUAGUUAAUUUUAUCUACAAAAUUAAAACUAUAUGUUUGUUUCUUGUCUCUGAACCUUCAUUCUGGAAAUCACUCUUCUGUGAACUAAGUGCAGAUCACAAAGAUGACCCUACCAUCCUAUGCCCUCUCCAUCACACUUAGCACCAUAUCUGUAACAUAUUGCCAAAAUGGACCUUUAGGACAUUAAUCCUCAAUUAUCUAAACACCUGCCAUAUUUCCAAAUACAUACCACUCGUAAGGAUUUUUAGAAUAAAUCUAUGAAAAGAAUUCUAUAUUAAUUCAACAUAAUAUACACAAAUCUCAGAUAGUGAAACUCUCUGAUACUUCAUUGUAUACUCCUCCAGUUUGGAGCAUGUAGUAUUUUAGUGGGAGCUAUUUCUCAAAAGCAGUGCUGUAUGUAUGUGGCUCUGAACCUCCUAGUCCCCAGGUAACAUUGUCUUUUCUACUUUAGUUAUUUUGUUUCAUUUGAUGUAUGUUAAGAGAUGUUCUCUAGAUGUUCACUAUGCUGGCCAAAUAAAUCUUUUUUUUAAAAAUGCACUUUUUGAAUAAAUUCUAAGCUG